AGGAAAGUUACCGAUUCUCUGAUGGCACAUCAAGCACUGCUGAAAACAUUUCCUCUGGUCUUGAUGACUGGUCUUAUUUUAUCGAUUGUGACUACUCCACUAAUCUGCAAAAGUUUUGAAUUGAGGAAUGAUCAUGAAAAACAGUGCAAUAUCUAUAGUUGGCUACUGAAAUUGAAGGUGAAUCUGCCAGGAGACUGUCCUUACGACAAAGUCAUGGAUUUGUCCCAUAAACUAAUGAUUAAAGGAAUCAUUUUUCUAAGUUUCGUUAUUUUUUUCGUUGGUACCACGUGGUUUCUCAUGAUAUGUUCAUCAAAAAAUCAUCGACUGGAGAUUGGGAUUGUAAGCAGUUUGCUCAUUGGUGCAACAGUAC
Molecule: long non-coding RNA, 370 nt
Organism: Saccostrea cuccullata (small rock oyster)
Lineage: Eukaryota; Metazoa; Mollusca; Bivalvia; Ostreida; Ostreidae
Exons: 3
Source: RefSeq, a predicted model, not a curated record